GACGGCGUAGCCAAGUUGGUUAAGGCGUGUGAUUAGAAUUAUACUAGUUUAGUCAUCACAUCCACUUUGUGGGCGUAGGUUCGAAUCCUGCCGCCGUCG
Hysterangium stoloniferum is the source of this 99-nucleotide non-coding RNA. NCBI's taxonomy places the organism in Eukaryota, Fungi, Basidiomycota, Agaricomycetes, Hysterangiales, Hysterangiaceae. The record is from the annotation of a GenBank genome assembly.